GCGAUCGUGGCGGAAUUGGUAGACGCGUGCGCUUGCCUAGGGGCCUAGCUAGCUGGACCUCUAACAAGCGCAUGGAGCAAUCCAUACUGGUUCGAUCCCCGUCGGUCGCACCA
Molecule: transfer RNA, 113 nt
Filed under: Methylobacterium fujisawaense
Lineage: Bacteria; Pseudomonadati; Pseudomonadota; Alphaproteobacteria; Hyphomicrobiales; Methylobacteriaceae
Also listed under: 1 other name
Description: tRNA-OTHER
Source: RNAcentral